GGUCGCCCGGCUGCGCGGCGGGGGCGGGCCGACGGCGGCCGCCGCGCCAGGCCUCACAAAGAGCAAACAGCCCCGCGCGUCCGCCCGCGGUCCCAGCGCCGGGGCCCACCCUGAAGGAUCUGGGGCGGCCGCUCUGGGACCCCGGGAAGAGCGCGGCGAGGAAGAGGCACUUCCUGCCUGGGCCCCCCACCCUGGGCCGAUUCCCGAGUGCCUCGAAGCCGCCCGACCCGAACGGGCGCCUCAGUCCCCACCGGCCCCGAGUCCAGCCCCUCCCGCGGGACUCACCCUGAGCGGCGGUGAGAUCCGCGGCUGCCAGCGGCUUGUCGCUCUUCAGCUGGCGGCCAAUGUAGUCAGUCUGGGGACCCACCUCCCCCUUUCAGCUGAGCGCACACAACACAGCAUCCACGUGAGUCAGCUUCUUAAAGGCGAAGGCUUGGCCUGUCUAAUUGCGGCAGCUGCGAGACAUCGCACGUCAUUAGCGUCACCAGGUAGCGGCUGGAGCCGAGCUUCCUGAUACCUAGUGAGCCGCGGUGAUGACAAAUGAAAACAAUAAGCUGUUUCCUAGACAAACAGCUGCCUAGUUUCGCUCUGUCGCCCAGGCUGGAGUGCAGUGGCACAAUCUCGGUUCACUGCAACCUCUGCCUCCCGGGUUCAAGCAGUUCUCUUGCCUCAGCCUCCCAAGUAACUGGUACUACAGAGAAUUGAUACAAAAAAUGAUCAUGUGAAGAAUUUGCAUCUUCUGCAGAACUACCGGUAUCAGUCAGCAGUAGGAGAUUGCCAGACACGGUGGCUCACGCCUAUAAUCCUAGCACUUUGGGAGGCUGAGGUGUGUGGAUCACUUGAGCCCAGGAGUUCAAGACCAGCCUGAGCAACAUGGUGAAACCCCAUCUCUGCAAAAAAUACAAAAAUUAGCCAGGCGUGGUGGUGUGUACCUGUGGUCCCAGCUGCUGGGAAGGCUGAGGUGGGAGGAACAUUUGAGCCCAGAAGUUGAGCCGUGAUCACGCCACUGCACUCCAGCCUGGAUGACACAGCAAGACCUUGUCUCAAAAAAUAAAAUAAAAUAAAUUUUAAAAAAUCUUGGUUAUUCCCUCUGGUUCUCCUGGAGGCAUGAAGAUCAGUCCAGAAGUGGAUGCGGUGAUCUAGGUAUAAAUUCAGCCUGAGAUUCCAGAAUAUUCUGUGUAUUGACCACCACAGCAAGAAGAAAAAGUCCAUGUAGGACUGAAAUGUGCUGGCACCAAGAAAAUGCAUACACCCUGUGGGCAGCUCACUUUGAAGAGAGAGAGGAGAAGAAAGGGCUGGGCUGCCCCUACUCAAGCUCUUCUUCCAAAAGCAGUACUCAGAUGGGUCACUCCAUAAUUCCCAGGGUCCAGUCAGGGAGCGGUGGGGAGAGGCUGGAGUGGCCUACUAAGGGAGAGCCCUGUUAACAGAGCCUCCUACACAAGGAAGAAUCACUAGGAGAGGGGAAGGAACGUGCGAGGCCCCUGCCAACUCCUCUUCCAUACUCGUUCGUUUGCGCAUUCAACACACUUUUGAGCACCUUCUUUUCCUCUGUGCUCUGUGACAGGAAUUCAAACAUGAAACUAGAUGUGGCCUUGGCUUUCAGAGAAGUCAUUCCCUUAGUAGUGAAUACUAGUUCCCUGAAGUUUAACAUUGGAGGAGAAGGAGUUAUUAAACACCCAUUCUAAGCAAGAACAUCAGUAGCCUACAAAGGGCCUUUUUUCACACUUUGAGUCUGUUGAAGAAAACUCACAGUUGGUAUCACUUGCUUUAAAAGUGCCCCCCACUCUGCCUUGUACGGUCCGGAUUGCUGUGAGGCCAUGACAAGGAACCAAGUUCUGUUUUUCUGUGAAGAGAAUGGAAUAAUCAUUUACCUCUUUCCUGUGGCUGCCAGCUGGUCCCUUCACUCAGUCACUCCCUGUUUCUCCUUCCUCCCUUUCCUCUCCCCUUCCAGUACACAGAAUCCCUUCUCCAUAUCCCCCCAUGAUGAAGGACCACCAGUCAUUGGCUCACCUCUCUUCCAAAAUUCCAAUGACUAGAGUCUUUCUCAGAGUAUGUAUAACUGAUGUCACAGACCCCUGAGUCUGGAAGAGUCUAAGUAAAAGUGGGUGUUGACCUGAAUGUAAGUUAGUUUUCUAUUGUCUUAGUUUUUGCUCCCC
Molecule: long non-coding RNA, 2156 nt
Filed under: Homo sapiens (human)
Lineage: Eukaryota; Metazoa; Chordata; Mammalia; Primates; Hominidae
Description: HSALNT0301461
Source: RNAcentral